CAGUCGCCACGGGAACACGAAGGGUGCAAGCGUUACUCGGAAUUACUGGGCGUAAAGCGUGCGUAGGUGGUGGUUUAAGUCCGUUGUGAAAGCCCUGGGCUCAACCUGGGAAUUGCAGUGGAUACUGGGUCACUAGAGUGUGGUAGAGGAUAGUGGAAUUUCCGGUGUAGCAGUGAAAUGCGUAGAGAUCGGAAGGAACAUCUGUGGCAAAGGCGACUAUCUGGGCCAACACUGACACUGAGGCACGAAAGCGUGGGGAGCAAACAGGAUUAGAUACCCCGGUAGUCCCUGUCUCUUAUAA
Molecule: ribosomal RNA, 301 nt
Filed under: uncultured bacterium
Lineage: Bacteria
Description: partial 16S ribosomal RNA
Rfam family: Bacterial small subunit ribosomal RNA
Source: RNAcentral